Trichoplusia ni (cabbage looper) is the source of this 1094-nucleotide long non-coding RNA. RefSeq lists it as uncharacterized. The record is from RefSeq and is a predicted model, not a curated record. NCBI's taxonomy places the organism in Eukaryota, Metazoa, Arthropoda, Insecta, Lepidoptera, Noctuidae. The transcript has 3 exons.
AUAAAAUUAUAAAUACAUGCGUAUUUAACCUGAAAUUUUCACCAUGUUUCCACGCAUCAGUGAGUCUCGGUUGCCUAGCGACAAAGUUGCAGGUUUUACUACAUUUUAACGUAUCUCGGUUUCAAGGAAAUGGUUACUGCGUCAUAAUGUGGGAACAUUCAAUUCUGUUAUAAGUUAUUUUGCGUACGUAGCGCAAGUUUUAAGUGGAGUUUGUUAGAAAGAGUUAGUUGUGUAAAGCGACUGCACGUAUCUCUCUGUACCUACAUUGUCUGUUCUUUUCAUACUUUUUAAAGGAAACGUGUUUGGUUUUUCAAUGACAAUGUAAGGGUUACAUUUAAAACAAACUAUUAGCAAUAAAUCAUCGGAAACCACAGUACGCUUCAUCAUAAACCAUCUUACAUCAAACAAUGGAUCUUUGAAACCUACAAUGGCUAACAUAACUGAAAUUAAAAGUUAACUACAAAUACAACAAAAACGUUUUACAAGAAGAUUACGAAAUAUUUAUUCAAAGAAAUUCAUCGUUCGCGGGAUGAACUGAUACUCACAAAAACAAAUGAACGUCUGUCCUUUGCAUGGUACAAUCAAAACUGGCCAGUUGUAAAAACUCGACUUUCAUUUAAUUGAGUAUGCAAAGCGGCCGGCGUGGUCCGCCAUUGAAGUCUUAUCCUUUGUGUGACGUCACAGUAUGGAGCGUACGCUAAGUAUGGCUAUUUUUUACACGUUGAGAAUGAUGUGCUUAAAGGGCUCUCUGAGUAAUGUGGGUGUACAGAAAUUUUCUCUCAAAAUGUUGUUUAUGUGUGUAUUAUGGUGUUUGUAUUUUUUGAACCAAAAGACUGUUAGAGUGUAUCUUAGAAAAAAUAUUCAGUGCAAGUCAACAAACAACUUUUAGGAACAUUAUUUUGGAAUGUGCUCUGAAAAACAAAAACGUAUACCUAUACGCAAUUUUCACGUUACCAAUUUAUAGAACGUGGGUUAUAUCGAAGCCUGAAUCUUCAGCAAUAUGAGGGCAAACUAGCAUCAAAUUGAAACUAGACACGGUGAAUAAAACGCGGGCUGCGGCCGGUUAUUACGAAUAUAUUAGGGUCUGGUUACGA